GACGAACGCUGGCGGCGUGCUUAACACAUGCCAGUCGAACGGAAAGGCCCUGCUUUUGUGGGGUGCUCGAGUGGCGAGCGGGUGAGUAACACGUGAGUAACCUGCCCUUGACUUUGGGAUAACUUCAGGAAACUGGGGCUAAUACCGGAUAGGAGCUCCUGCUGCAUGGUGGGGUUGGAAAGUUUCGGCGGUUGGGGAUGGACUCGCGGCUUAUCAGCUUGUUGGUGGGGUAGUGGCUUACCAAGGCUUUGACGGGUAGCCGGCCUGAGAGGGUGACCGGCCACAUUGGGACUGAGAUACGGCCCAGACUCCUACGGGAGGCAGCAGUGGGGAAUAUUGCACAAUGGGCGGAAGCCUGAUGCAGCAACGCCGCGUGCGGGAUGACGGCCUUCGGGUUGUAAACCGCUUUCGCCUGUGACGAAGCGUGAGUGACGGUAAUGGGUAAAGAAGCACCGGCUAACUACGUG
Molecule: ribosomal RNA, 467 nt
Filed under: uncultured bacterium
Lineage: Bacteria
Description: partial 16S ribosomal RNA
Rfam family: Bacterial small subunit ribosomal RNA
Source: RNAcentral